Molecule: ribosomal RNA, 253 nt
Filed under: uncultured bacterium
Lineage: Bacteria
Description: partial 16S ribosomal RNA
Rfam family: Bacterial small subunit ribosomal RNA
Source: RNAcentral
GACGUAGGGCGCGAGCGUUGUCCGGAUUUAUUGGGCGUAAAGCGCACGUAGGCGGCUUUGCAAGUCCCAUGUGAAAUCCCACGGCUUAACCGUGGAAGUGCAUGGGAAACUGCAGAGCUUGAGUACUUAAGAGGAUCGCGGAAUUCCCGGUGUAGAGGUGAAAUUCGUAGAUAUCGGGAGGAACACCGGUGGCGAAGGCGGCGUUCUGGACUGCAACUGACACUGAGGAACGAAAGCCAGGGGAGCAAACGGG